Phellopilus nigrolimitatus is the source of this 101-nucleotide non-coding RNA. NCBI's taxonomy places the organism in Eukaryota, Fungi, Basidiomycota, Agaricomycetes, Hymenochaetales, Hymenochaetaceae. The record is from the annotation of a GenBank genome assembly.
GCAUUAAUGGGGUAGUGGUAACCUGGGUCGUUGCCAAGUAUUGCAUAUAUACUACGUAAUUGACCGUCGACCCGCCGGGGGUUCGAUUCCCUCUUAAUGCA